This 394-nucleotide ribosomal RNA is filed under the name uncultured bacterium. Its description in RNAcentral is "bacterial SSU rRNA". It matches the Rfam family "Bacterial small subunit ribosomal RNA", at positions 30 to 424 of the family's 1533-position model. The record is from RNAcentral.
AUUGAACGCUGGCGGCAUGCUUUACACAUGCAAGUCGAACGGCAGCACGGGUGCUUGCACCUGGUGGCGAGUGGCGGACGGGUGAGUAAUACAUCGGAACGUAUCCAGAAGAGGGGGAUAACGCAUCGAAAGACGUGCUAAUACCGCAUAUUCUCUGAGGAGGAAAGCAGGGGCUCGCAAGACCUUGCGCUUUUGGAGCGGCCGAUGUCUGAUUAGCUAGUUGGUGAGGUAAAGGCUCACCAAGGCGACGAUCUGUAGCGGGUCUGAGAGGAUGAUCCGCCACACUGGAACUGAGACACGGUCCAGACUCCUACGGGAGGCAGCAGUGGGGAAUUUUGGACAAUGGGCGCAAGCCUGAUCCAGCCAUGCCGCGUGAGUGAAGAAGGCCUCGGUU